AUUACUGGGCGUAAGCGCACGCAGGCGGUCUGUCAAGUCGGAUGUGAAAUCCCCGGGCUCAACCUGGGAACUGCAUUCGAAACUGGCAGGCUGGAGUCUUGUAGAGGGGGGUAGAAUUCCAGGUGUAGCGGUGAAAUGCGUAGAGAUCUGGAGGAAUACCGGUGGCGAAGGCGGCCCCCUGGACAAAGACUGACGCUCAGGUGCGAAAGCGUGGGGAGCAAACAGGAUUAGAUACCCUGGUAGUCCACGCUGUAAACGAUGUCGACUUGGAGGUUGUUCCCUUGAGGAGUGGCUUCCGGAGCUAACGCGUUAAGUCGACCGCCUGGGGAGUACGGCCGCAAGGUUAAAACGUCAAAGAAAUUGACGGA
RNAcentral lists this ribosomal RNA (368 nucleotides) under uncultured bacterium. Its description in RNAcentral is "bacterial SSU rRNA". It matches the Rfam family "Bacterial small subunit ribosomal RNA", at positions 550 to 917 of the family's 1533-position model. The record is from RNAcentral.